This 466-nucleotide ribosomal RNA is filed under the name Euglandina sp. HLS30165. RNAcentral's name for it is "partial 16S ribosomal RNA". It matches the Rfam family "Bacterial large subunit ribosomal RNA", at positions 1806 to 2610 of the family's 2925-position model. Lineage: Eukaryota; Metazoa; Mollusca; Gastropoda; Stylommatophora; Spiraxidae. The record is from RNAcentral.
AUCAAAAACAUAGCUUUAUGCUUUUUAUAUUAAGUCAAUUCUGCUCAGUGAUAAUUUAAACAGCCGCAGUACACUGACUGUGCAAAGGUAGCAUAAUAAGUUGGCUUAUAAUUGAAGUCUUGUAUGAAUGGAGUUUAAUGGGUAGCAGCUGUCUCUUUAAGUUUAAAUAGAAUUUACUUAGGGGGUGAAAAUUCCCCCCAGUAAAGAAGAAAGACGAGAAGACCCUUAGAAUUUUUACUAUGGUAAUUUUAUUUAACUACGUAUUUGUUGGGGCGACAAAUUAGCAACUUUAACCUAAUUUUUUAUACUGUAACAAGAAAAUAUUUAUUUGGUAGAUUAAUUACCUAAGGGAUAACAGCAUAAUCUUUUUUUUGGUUUGUGACCUCGAUGUUGGACUAGGGAUUAUUAUGGCUAGCAGCUUUAAUUAAUAGUUCUGUUCGAACUUAGUACCCUACAUGAUCUGAGU